RNAcentral lists this ribosomal RNA (464 nucleotides) under uncultured bacterium. Its description in RNAcentral is "bacterial SSU rRNA". It matches the Rfam family "Bacterial small subunit ribosomal RNA", at positions 331 to 793 of the family's 1533-position model. The record is from RNAcentral.
CCAGACUCCUACGGGAGGCAGCAGUGAGGAAUAUUGGUCAAUGGUCGGGAGACUGAACCAGCCAAGCCGCGUGAGGGAUGAAGGUACAGAGUAUCGUAAACCUCUUUUGUCAGGGAACAAAGGCGGGGACGUGUCCCCGGAUGAGUGUACCUGAAGAAAAAGCAUCGGCUAACUCCGUGCCAGCAGCCGCGGUAAUACGGAGGAUGCGAGCGUUAUCCGGAUUUAUUGGGUUUAAAGGGUGCGUAGGCGGGACCUUAAGUCAGCGGUAAAAUUGCGGUGCUCAACGCCGUAGAGCCGUUGAAACUGGGGUUCUUGAGUGAGCGAGAAGUAUGCGGAAUGCGUGGUGUAGCGGUGAAAUGCAUAGAUAUCACGCAGAACCCCGAUUGCGAAGGCAGCAUGCCGGCGCUCAACUGACGCUGAGGCACGAAAGUGCGGGUAUCGAACAGGAUUAGAUACCCGCGUAA